AUGCCCAGGGUAUGUGGGCGGGGGGCGGGGAAGGAGGGUUGCGGUGGAGAAGGAGGGGCCGGAGGCGGCAGCUCCUUUGCUCUCGGCCCUGCCCACGAGGGGCCACUCCUCCUCUUCCUUUCCUUUCCUCCCUUCCUUUUCCUUUUUCUUCUGGGGAGCUGCCGCAGGCUGGGGACGGUAGGAGGGCCCGAGUUACUUGGAGGAGACGCAGAUGGCUGUGGGCUAAUUCCUGAAGUGCCCCGGCUCCCCGGCUGGCAUCCUGCACAGGGCUACAGCUCAGCCCCCCUCGUCUAUCUGAACCCACCCCAGUGGCACCAGCCCAUACCCGUGACUUUACUGUCUGAAGAGCUCAGUUAUUGCUGUGACCCGAAGUUGUCAUAG
This 381-nucleotide long non-coding RNA is filed under the name Sus scrofa (pig). RNAcentral describes it as "lncRNA (ENSSSCG00065002625.1)". The record is from RNAcentral. Lineage: Eukaryota; Metazoa; Chordata; Mammalia; Artiodactyla; Suidae.